Molecule: non-coding RNA, 211 nt
Filed under: Planococcus sp. (in: firmicutes)
Lineage: Bacteria; Bacillati; Bacillota; Bacilli; Caryophanales; Caryophanaceae
Description: Planococcus sp. T-box sequence
Rfam family: T-box leader
About the family: Uncharged tRNA acts as the effector for transcription antitermination of genes in the T-box leader family. T-boxes are found upstream of many aminoacyl-tRNA synthetase genes and some amino acid biosynthetic genes usually in Gram-positive bacteria.
Source: RNAcentral
GCUAAAUCGAUGAAUAAGAAAAGUAGCGCAGGUGUACCUCUCAAAGAGAGCCAGUGGCAGGUGGAAACUGGUGGGGUAUCUGAGUGAAUGGGCUUAUGAGUGAUUCUUUGAACCGCAAGUAGAAGAAUCCGUUCCCCCACGUUAUCAGGGAUAGAGUAAAAGCUGUAAUAGCUUUAACAUGAGGUGGUACCACGGUCAAUCCGUCCUCUGU